RNAcentral lists this ribosomal RNA (601 nucleotides) under uncultured Actinomycetes bacterium. RNAcentral's name for it is "bacterial SSU rRNA". It matches the Rfam family "Bacterial small subunit ribosomal RNA", at positions 8 to 621 of the family's 1533-position model. The record is from RNAcentral. Lineage: Bacteria; Bacillati; Actinomycetota; Actinomycetes.
AGAGUUUGAUCAUGGCUCAGGACGAACGCUGGCGGCGUGCUUAACACAUGCAAGUCGAACGGAAAGGCCCUGCUUUUGUGGGGUGCUCGAGUGGCGAACGGGUGAGUAACACGUGAGUAACCUGCCCUUGACUUUGGGAUAACUUCAGGAAACUGGGGCUAAUACCGGAUAGGAGCUCCUGCUGCAUGGUGGGGGUUGGAAAGUUUCGGCGGUUGGGGAUGGACUCGCGGCUUAUCAGCUUGUUGGUGGGGUAGUGGCUUACCAAGGCUUUGACGGGUAGCCGGCCUGAGAGGGUGACCGGCCACAUUGGGACUGAGAUACGGCCCAGACUCCUACGGGAGGCAGCAGUGGGGAAUAUUGCACAAUGGGCGGAAGCCUGAUGCAGCAACGCCGCGUGCGGGAUGACGGCCUUCGGGUUGUAAACCGCUUUCGCCUGUGACGAAGCGUGAGUGACGGUAAUGGGUAAAGAAGCACCGGCUAACUACGUGCCAGCAGCCGCGGUGAUACGUAGGGUGCGAGCGUUGUCCGGAUUUAUUGGGCGUAAAGGGCUCGUAGUGGUUGAUCGCGUCGGAAGUGUAAUCUUGGGGCUUAACCCUGAGCG